ACUCCUACGGGAGGCAGCAGUGAGGAAUAUUGGACAAUGGGCGGAAGCCUGAUCCAGCCAUGCCGCGUGCAGGAAGACUGCCCUAUGGGUUGUAAACUGCUUUUAUACGGGAAGAAACCGCCCUACGUGUAGGGCUCUGACGGUACCGUAAGAAUAAGGAUCGGCUAACUCCGUGCCAGCAGCCGCGGUAAUACGGAGGAUCCAAGCGUUAUCCGGAAUCAUUGGGUUUAAAGGGUCCGUAGGUGGACGAUUAAGUCAGAGGUGAAAGUCUGCGGCUCAACCGUAGAAAUGCCUUUGAUACUGGCGGUCUUGAGUUAUGGCGAAGUGGGCGGAAUAUGUAGUGUAGCGGUGAAAUGCAUAGAUAUUACAUAGAACACCGAUUGCGAAGGCAGCCA
RNAcentral lists this ribosomal RNA (395 nucleotides) under uncultured bacterium. Its description in RNAcentral is "bacterial SSU rRNA". It matches the Rfam family "Bacterial small subunit ribosomal RNA", at positions 335 to 727 of the family's 1533-position model. The record is from RNAcentral.